GGCCUUUGCAAUAGUUGCCAACGACAACUUUGCUCCGGUGGCGGUGGCCGCGUAAGCGGUCCCCAAUACCAAAUUAAGUCCUAGCGGGUAGCUCCGCAUAGGCGGGGUUCGGAGGCACCUGGCAACAGAAGCCUCCACU
This 139-nucleotide transfer-messenger RNA is filed under the name Methylobacterium sp. CG08_land_8_20_14_0_20_71_15. RNAcentral's name for it is "partial transfer-messenger RNA". It matches the Rfam family "Alphaproteobacteria transfer-messenger RNA", at positions 216 to 355 of the family's 355-position model. Rfam says of the family: Bacterial tmRNA, also known as 10Sa RNA or SsrA, is named for its dual tRNA and mRNA-like properties. Its role is to liberate the mRNA from a stalled ribosome. The record is from RNAcentral. Lineage: Bacteria; Pseudomonadati; Pseudomonadota; Alphaproteobacteria; Hyphomicrobiales; Methylobacteriaceae.